This 253-nucleotide ribosomal RNA is filed under the name uncultured bacterium. RNAcentral describes it as "partial 16S ribosomal RNA". It matches the Rfam family "Bacterial small subunit ribosomal RNA", at positions 524 to 776 of the family's 1533-position model. The record is from RNAcentral.
GACGUAGGAGGCGAGCGUUGUCCGGAUUCAUUGGGCGUAAAGAGCACGCAGGCGGUUUGGCAAGUCGGAUGUGAAAACCCGGAGCUCAACUCCGGACCUGCAUCCGAAACUGCCCGACUAGAGGUAGGUAGGGGAGAUCGGAAUUCCUGGUGUAGCGGUGAAAUGCGCAGAUAUCAGGAGGAACACCGGUGGCGAAGGCGGAUCUCUGGGCCGUACCUGACGCUCAGGUGCGAAAGCGUGGGUAGCAAACAGG